GGGCCGCCAAGUUCCCUAGCGGACUCAUAAUCCGUCGGCCGUGGGUUCGAGUCCCACCCGCCCCA
Molecule: transfer RNA, 65 nt
Filed under: Cellulomonas sp. GX59
Lineage: Bacteria; Bacillati; Actinomycetota; Actinomycetes; Micrococcales; Cellulomonadaceae
Description: Streptomyces sp. SLBN-31 tRNA-Met
Rfam family: tRNA
About the family: Transfer RNA (tRNA) molecules are approximately 80 nucleotides in length. Their secondary structure includes four short double-helical elements and three loops (D, anti-codon, and T loops). Further hydrogen bonds mediate the characteristic L-shaped molecular structure. tRNAs have two regions of fundamental functional importance: the anti-codon, which is responsible for specific mRNA codon recognition, and the 3' end, to which the tRNAs corresponding amino acid is attached (by aminoacyl-tRNA synthetases). tRNAs cope with the degeneracy of the genetic code in two manners: having more than one tRNA (with a specific anti-codon) for a particular amino acid; and 'wobble' base-pairing, i.e. permitting non-standard base-pairing at the 3rd anti-codon position.
Source: RNAcentral